AAAACAGUAUGAGCUGACAGCCGACUCUUCUUUGGUUUUUUUUUCCUCUUUAAACACUCCGACGGGGUUUAGUGGCUAGCCAAAAAAAGUUAGCCAUGUUUAAAUAACACGGCUUCUCUAUGAAAACUAAACAAUAUGAGCUAAAGGUUGGCUCUGAUACCACAAUAUAGGAAUACCAUGCAGCGGAAUAAUAAUAAUCAAAUAAAUUUUACCAACCUCCGGCCAUCAUUGAUUAAACACCCUUGCAAUUAAGCACCAACCAUCUUGAUUAAGCACCCACACGAGAGGAAAGAGGAAAGAGAAAGAGACCUGCGGGAGAGAGAGAAGAGGAGAUCCGGAGCUUCUAACCUAUGCAGGACUUGAGUGGCUUAGGUGAUGCUAUUUAUAGAGGUAGGUUAGGAACCCGGAUCCUUAUCUUUAAGGCUUAUCUCUAAUUAGUUUCCAUCCAUUACGGAAACCAUUUGAUAAGGUAAACUCUGAAUAAUCUCUAAUCAGAUUGGAUUAAGUCACUAUUUAAACGAGAUUGUGUUCAUCUUGAUGUGGGUAAAC
This 549-nucleotide long non-coding RNA is filed under the name Phoenix dactylifera (date palm). RNAcentral's name for it is "long non-coding RNA (PDAC_LNC002370)". Lineage: Eukaryota; Viridiplantae; Streptophyta; Magnoliopsida; Arecales; Arecaceae. The record is from RNAcentral.